UUGAUGGCAGGCGGUGGCUACCAGUCUGGCCGUCCAUCUGCCCGCCAGCUGUUCGAUCGUUACUGUCAUAUGUGCUUUUGU
RNAcentral lists this microRNA precursor (81 nucleotides) under Anopheles gambiae (African malaria mosquito). Its description in RNAcentral is "microRNA aga-mir-12418 precursor". The record is from miRBase by way of RNAcentral. Lineage: Eukaryota; Metazoa; Arthropoda; Insecta; Diptera; Culicidae.